UCCAGUAUUUUUGUAAUGUAUUUGGCGCAAGAAACUGGAGUUGAAGUAAACUUCAGAGCUAGAUGGUUAGCUGUCUGUCUAAUUACCCACAUCUUCUUCCACAUGUAGCUACGUAAGGAGCUUGGAAGGGGCUGAGAAAAUGGCUUCAAGUCCUAGAUCAUCUCUUCCAAGAGGAAGAUUUCACCUGUCCUGUGUGAUGUGACGUCUUCAAGAAUCCUGUCCUCCUACCAUGGAGCAGCCACAGCUACUUGUAAAGUCCAUCUGCGGCAAUGCUGGGAGUUGAAGGGGGUUCGGGAAUGCUCCGUUUGCAGAAAGAGAUUUUCCAUGGGUAAUCCUCCCUGUAACCUGGCUCUAUAGAACCUGUGUGAGGCCUACCUUGAUGAGAGUCUGGUGUCUGGUCAUGGUGAGAAAUUCACGUUCUAUUGUCUGGAGGAUAAGCAGCCCAUCUGCUGUUCAGGGCCUCAAGGAGAAGGGUGAACACCAGAGAGCACUAAAACCCUUACAAGGAGAUGCUAAAGUAUUUCAAAGAAGCUACAGAAAUCUGUACUUCCACAAUGCCUAACAUUCAGUAGGACGACGUUGAGUUUAAUAUAAGAAAGCAACAAUAAUGUAUUAGAUCAAUAUUUAAUUAUGUUUGCAUUUGGUUGCCAAAUGUUUGAUAGAGAUGGCUAAAUGAACAUUUUUCACAGCUAGACUCUGUAGUAGGACUGAUUCAUUCACUACUGUACCGAUGGCUAGCUAAAAUCAGACCAGAGUCCGUCAACCAGACCAGGGAAUUGGUUUUCUGGAUGAAAUGUGAGAAUUCCAGUAACGUAACGUAAUAACAGUUCUCCCACUGUCUCCAGAGACAAUUCCAAGACGCAGAGAUCGAGAUCUAGCAUGAAUUCAAAGAGUUUCCGCAGUUUCUUGGAGAUGAAGAGAAGGCCAGGUUUGACACACUGAGGCAGGAACAGUUUGUGAAGACUUCAGUUUCUUGGAGAUGAAGAGAAGGCCAGGUUUGACACACUGAGGCAGGAACAGUUUGUGAAGACUUCAGCAAUGGUUAAUAGGAUUGACCAGUUGAGACAAGAGAUGUCAUCACUUGUAAACACAAUUUAAGCUUAUAGAGGAUGAGCUAUGAGAUUAAGACACCUCAUUCCUUCAGGUCAGGACUGCUCUAAGUUAACAUGAUUUGUUGGUGCAUUUAUACUGAUAAAUAGUGAUAGAUAAAUAACAUAAUUUAAUCUGGUAGUCUGUUCUUCUGCAGAACUACAAGACUAUAAUGGAAAGGUAAGUGAGCUGCAUCCGGUCUCUCUCUUCUCUGUGUGUUCUGAACCGCCACUGACUCCUGAAUAUUCUUCCAGAGCCCAGUGCACACUGCCUGGUCCAGAUAACCAGCUGGUCUCAGGAGCACUGAUUGACGUGGCUAAACAUCUGGCUAAUCUGCAGUUCAAAGCUUGGGAGAAGAUGCAGAGGAAUGGGAUUGUCACUUACAGUUUCUAUCCAUUUUUUAAAAUCUUAGUGAAUACUGGUGGUGGACACCAAUAUUGAUAAUUAGAUAUGAUAUUGAUAUGAGCAAGGCAUAUCGUGAUAGGUUUAUUAUUCCUGUUAACCUGACCUGGCCCAAUGGGCAAUCCGCAAGCAGUUGUCU
Long non-coding RNA from Oncorhynchus kisutch (coho salmon), 1630 nucleotides. RefSeq lists it as uncharacterized. Lineage: Eukaryota; Metazoa; Chordata; Actinopteri; Salmoniformes; Salmonidae. The transcript is spliced from 2 exons. The record is from RefSeq and is a predicted model, not a curated record.